GCACCCUUAGCUCAGUUGGUAGAGCAACUCAUUUACACUGAGAAGGUCGUAGGUUCGAGUCCUACAGGGUGCA
RNAcentral lists this transfer RNA (73 nucleotides) under bacterium. RNAcentral describes it as "tRNA-Val". It matches the Rfam family "tRNA". Rfam says of the family: Transfer RNA (tRNA) molecules are approximately 80 nucleotides in length. The record is from RNAcentral.